This 254-nucleotide ribosomal RNA is filed under the name uncultured bacterium. RNAcentral's name for it is "partial 16S ribosomal RNA". It matches the Rfam family "Bacterial small subunit ribosomal RNA", at positions 524 to 776 of the family's 1533-position model. The record is from RNAcentral.
UACGUAGGGUGCAAGCGUUGUCCGGAAUUAUUGGGCGUAAAGAGCUCGUAGGCGGUUUGUCGCGUCUGCUGUGAAAACGCGAGGCUCAACCUCGCGCCUGCAGUGGGUACGGGCAAACUAGAGUGCGGUAGGGGAGAUUGGAAUUCCUGGUGUAGCGGUGGAAUGCGCAGAUAUCAGGAGGAACACCGAUGGCGAAGGCAGAAUCUCUGGGCCGUAACUGACGCUGAGGAGCGAAAGCGUGGGGAGCGAACAGG